CCUACGGGAGGCAGCCGUGGGGGAUAUUGCACAAUGGGGGAAACCCUGAUGCAGCGACGCCGCGUGGGUGAAGAAGUAUUUCGGUAUGUAAAGCCCUAUCAGCAGGGAAGAAAGAAGACGGUACCUGACUAAGAAGCCCCGGCUAACUACGUGCCAGCAGCCGCGGUAAUACGUAGGGGGCGAGCGUUAUCCGGAUUCACUGGGUGUAAAGGGAGCGUAGACGGCCGUGCAAGCCAGGAGUGAAAGCCCGGGGCCCAACCCCGGGACUGCUCUUGGAACUGUGCGGCUGGAGUGCGGGAGGGGCAGGCGGAAUUCCUGGUGUAGCGGUGAAAUGCGUAGAUAUCAGGAGGAACACCGGCGGCGAAGGCGGCCUGCUGGACCGCGACUGACGUUGAGGCUCGAAAGCGUGGGGAGCGAACAGGAUUAGAUACCCCGGUAGUC
This 441-nucleotide ribosomal RNA is filed under the name uncultured bacterium. RNAcentral's name for it is "partial 16S ribosomal RNA". It matches the Rfam family "Bacterial small subunit ribosomal RNA", at positions 338 to 795 of the family's 1533-position model. The record is from RNAcentral.